UACGGAGGGUGCGAGCGUUGUCCGGAAUCACUGGGCGUAAAGGGCGCGUAGGCGGCUCGUGAAGUCAGUGGUGAAAGCCCAGGGCUCAACUCUGGGUCGGCCACUGAUACUCGCGAGCUCGAGUUUGGUAGAGGCAGAUGGAAUUCCGGGUGUAGCGGUGGAAUGCGUAGAGAUCCGGAAGAACGACCGGUGGCGAAGGCGGUCUGACUGGGCCGAAGACUG
This 222-nucleotide ribosomal RNA is filed under the name uncultured bacterium. RNAcentral's name for it is "partial 16S ribosomal RNA". It matches the Rfam family "Bacterial small subunit ribosomal RNA", at positions 524 to 742 of the family's 1533-position model. The record is from RNAcentral.